RNAcentral lists this ribosomal RNA (447 nucleotides) under uncultured bacterium. Its description in RNAcentral is "partial 16S ribosomal RNA". It matches the Rfam family "Bacterial small subunit ribosomal RNA", at positions 329 to 793 of the family's 1533-position model. The record is from RNAcentral.
UUCCAGACUCCUACGGGAGGCAGCAGUGGGGAAUAUUGCGCAAUGGGGGGAACCCUGAUGCAGCGACGCCGCGUGGGUGAAGGAGCACCUCGGUGCGUAAAGCCCUAUCAGCAGGAAAGAAAAUGACGGUACCUGACUAAGAAGCCCCGGCUAACUACGUGCCAGCAGCCGCGGUAAUACGUAGGGGGCAAGCGUUAUCCGGAUUUACUGGGUGUAAAGGGAGCGUAGACGGCAGUGCAAGUCCGGAGUGAAAGCCCGGGGCUCAACCCUGGGACUGCUCUGGAAACUGUAAAGCUGGAGUGCGGGAGGGGCAGGCGGAAUUCCUGGUGUAGCGGUGAAAUGCGUAGAUAUUAGGAGGAACACCAGUGGCGAAGGCGGCUUACUGGACGGCAACUGACGCUGAGGCUCGAAAGCGUGGGGAGCAAACAGGAUUAGAUACCCCGGUAC